This 221-nucleotide unclassified non-coding RNA is filed under the name plant metagenome. RNAcentral describes it as "partial contains small subunit ribosomal RNA, internal transcribed spacer 1, and 5.8S ribosomal RNA". The record is from RNAcentral.
UCUCCGUUGGUGAACCAGCGGAGGGAUCAUUACCGAGUUUACAACUCCCAAACCCUAUGUGAACCUUACCUUUUGUUGCUUCCGCGGGAUCGCCCUGGCGCUUCACGGCGCCGCAACUCAGCGCCCGCCGGAGGCCCAAAACUCUUGUUUAUUUAUGUUUCCUCACCGAGUGGCACAAGCAAAAUAAAUCAAAACUUUCAACAACGGAUCUCUUGGUUCCG